ACACAACAUUCCAACUCCGAACGCCCCGCUGCUGGCCGCCGCCGCCGCCUAUUGGCUCGCCCCGUUCUGAUUGACAAGCUUGGCAGCUAAUGGCCGCUGGUUUCCAAGGAGGCCGGUGGCACCGCCCCUCGCAGCGCCGGCAGUAACAAUAUGGCAGCGGCGCCUAUUGGUGGCGGCGUGUUCUGAGCGGCGGUGGCCGCAGGCGCCCGGCGGCGGCGACAGGGAGCAGCUCCCUGGGCGGACGGCGGCUCCCGGUGCCGAGCGCAGCCGCGGCAGGGGAGUGUGCUGGUACCUGAAGGUGAGGCUUGACCCAGGGCGCAGCCGUUUGGUGCAUCAGCCCUGCACCCUGAUUGCUGGAGCCCAGUUCCCCAGAGAGGCUUCUUGCGGUUGUCCCAGAGCAUCCUCACAGCUCGUCUCCAGACCCUUGUGCUAAGGAGAAGCCAACUGGAGGAAACGUGAAGGCCAAAAUCUCUUAAUGGGACUACACAGAUUAAAACACAGACCUUCUCUUUCGAGGUACCUCUCUGCAGAUGGUACUGUCCAACUUGGUCUUUCUGGAGCUGCUAUAUUCACCUAGAAGCUGUUAGACCUUUGAAAAACAAGAGAUCUUGCCAAGAAGCUACGAGGGACAACAAAUGCUUUCCUACCUUCCUACUUACUUCUGUAACGCCCUCAUGGCAAUGCUCCAUUCCCUGCAGAAGAGAACGAAUGGUCUCUUAGAAAUAAAAAUGUUUAAGGCUUCUUUGAAGCACACAAUGUAAUACAUAGUGAAAUGUUUAUCUGAAAAACUGGGUCAGCAGCUGCACGUUUUAUCAAAGAAAGUAUAUUCAGAAAUGUUUAUAGAAACAUGACAGCACUAAAUCUGGGUAGUUGGUCACUAAUCUUUGCAAAGAUACAAAACUGAUUACAUAAAAAAAAAAUCCCCUCAGGCACCCUGUUACUUAUAGGGUAUGUAUGACCCAGGCUUUGAAAGACUCCUUUCCUGCCCUUAUUCUUCUUCACACUUUGCCAUGUGGUCACUCCAAAUCACUGCCAGCUGGCCUGUUUGUCAUGUGUGUUUGUUUGUGCUGCUUCUAAUUUUUGCCCUUUCGAAGAGACAGACAAAAUCUGUGGUUUAUGCAAAUCUUUGAAUUUGCAGCCAGUCUAAUAGGGGGAAGGAAAAAUACAGGGAGUUUAAACAGCAGAAGGGAACGGAUUCUGUUCUUUAGUGCCUCACUAUUGACCACAGAACCUAGCAUACCUAUAAAUGAGUUGAAGUCUUGCCUGUUGUGUUUGAGGUUUUCUCACCUCCAUGUGGCCUUCUACCCUUAUUUCAGACAUCAGGUUAGGUUCCUUCUGAUGUGUUUUCAGCUUGACGAAUAUGGUUUGUUCUGUUUGU
Molecule: long non-coding RNA, 1378 nt
Organism: Neopsephotus bourkii (Bourke's parrot)
Lineage: Eukaryota; Metazoa; Chordata; Aves; Psittaciformes; Psittacidae
Exons: 4
Source: RefSeq, a predicted model, not a curated record